Peromyscus maniculatus bairdii (prairie deer mouse) is the source of this 2176-nucleotide non-coding RNA. The record is from RefSeq and is a predicted model, not a curated record. Lineage: Eukaryota; Metazoa; Chordata; Mammalia; Rodentia; Cricetidae.
CGGAGCUAGACCUGCUGGGGACAUUGCAGUGCCACUGGAGGUACAGAAGGCUGUCCCGCCACUUCAGCCACGUACCUUUAGUUGAAGUAACACACAAAGAGAUGCUUUUAGUUUUGAUUUUAAAGUGAUUUUAACAGUAUUUUAUUAAUUCUUUGAGAACGUCAUAUAAUGUACCUUGAUCAUAUUCAUACCCCGGCUCCUCCCAGGGCCUCGCCUUCUCUCCCUUCCCACUUCGUGUCCUUGUUUUUCCGGAGAGACUAUUUCACGGCAGACGUCUUAAUCCUCUGGCUCUUACAGUUCUUCUGGCCCCUUUUCUGAAAUGUUCUCUGAGCCGUCGGCAUAGGGGCUGUGUUAUGAAUGGAUGGAACCUCCCAUUGGGCCAUUUAAACAAGGCGCCUGUUUUUCUGGAUUUUGUCUUUAUUAACCUUCCCAGCCCACAGUUAAAGCUGGUGGGACCAUGCCCUGCACUUGAUCCUCUGCGUCCCAUGAAUCUGGAUUGAGAGAAGAAGCCAUAAGAGAAAUGGAAGACUUCUCCCUGGUUCUUGGAUCUGAGACAGCUAAGCCACCUUCUCUGGAUCUCUGUUGUCAGUGGAUCUCCUCCUAGAGCUGGGAGGCUCCGUUUGAAAAAUGACCACAAUUAUUGUCCUUCUUGAACCUACAGGUCUUGUGAAUUAACUGUGUUGCUUCUCCUCUCAGGAAGUAGAACAUAUGUAUUUUCAUUUGAUUCUGGCAUUAUUUUAUGAUGUAUUUUGCCUAACAGAAACGGUAGACUGAUACUGGCUGGGCCGAUUCUUCCCUAUACAGUCACUUGAUUACUGGAAUCCUCCUCAGGUACUGACUGUGAAAGGACAGGACAGCCUGCUACCCACUGAAGGCAGCCUAGUGAGAGAGUGCCCCGCUGACCUUGAAGCUGACCUUGAAGCUGACCGGGAAUGUCUAAAUGACCUGACAGAGACCAGAGAACUGACCAGCAGCAGCCAGUCUGGUUUCCCACUGGUAGAAUUUCAAGCUUAAGCACUGCUAUUUAAACCGACUGUGUCUUAGAAUGACUUCUCAUGCCACGAAAGUUUACUGAUGUCCCAUAAAGGUUAGAGGUGCGUCUACACAAGGAGUUACAUUCAUGCUUGAAUGAUCACAUCUGCCACAUAAGGAAAGAAAGUGCAGAGGAUGAGCCACACAGAAGAGAAGAGAUACAUAGGGAGGACUAUAGAGUGAGGUUGUUUCCAACUUUAGUGAACUCUAGGUGAAAACCAGGUGCUAGAAUCAAUGGUUCUGCCCGUCACAGAGAGAUGUCCAGUCAGCUCCUCAGGCACUGAUGAGGUUUCAAAGCUCAGGAAACAUGUUCCUGAAAGAGGUCAACAAUGCAUAUCUGAAACUUGGACCCUCCACAGGAGAAACUCAACACCCUGUUGGAGUCAGAUAAGCAGAACUUGUUCUGAGAGCGUCGUCCAAGUGAGACCGCAGAGGACGGAGCCAGAUUGAGACCACCAUCAGCCACAGAGCCGGAGGCACAAGGACCAUCAAAUAUACUCCGGUGGGAGCUGACUUGGACUCACCCAGAUAGGUCAGAUCCAAACUGUCAGAUCCAAGCUGUCAGAGCCAAGCAGCACUGGACAAUCCCACAGGCCUCAAAACAGCAGCAAAGACAAUCAGAAAGUCCGGCUAACUCAAGAAAAGUGCCCCCCCCCCCAAUUAACUGAUGCCCACCAAGUCAGCUGGAAACAGUUCUGAGAGACACAGUGCCCCCAUUCCCGGUCACCCUCUACCUCUAACCCCUUAGUUUUCAUAAUAGCAAAAAGGGUGGACUGUUAUUAUCCCUAGCCAUUUCUGGAGUCACAUGACUGCAUAAGCACUGUCAGCAGUCGGACAAAAUGCUUAGUCACUUAGGGCCUAACAUCCUACUUAAUCCAUGCAAAUCGUGGUCAUGUAAUCUACACACCUGCAUGGUGUAGCUGUGUAAGCCCAUAGACACAUGCUCGAGGUGACCUAUAAAGCAGGCUCUACCCACUCCCCACUCUCUCUCUCCUUCUCUCCAGAGGUAGCACACACCUCUCUCUCUUUCCUUUUCCCACCACACUUUUCUUUUCUUUAGACCUACCUCCCCCCUUUCCCUUCCCUGAUAAAAACUCUUAUAGUGUGUUCCGUUGUACCUCAUGUUUUCUCGCUCCUGGUAAAU